Molecule: ribosomal RNA, 223 nt
Filed under: uncultured Gardnerella sp.
Lineage: Bacteria; Bacillati; Actinomycetota; Actinomycetes; Bifidobacteriales; Bifidobacteriaceae
Description: partial 16S ribosomal RNA
Rfam family: Bacterial small subunit ribosomal RNA
Source: RNAcentral
UGCUCCAGAAUAGCUCUUGGAAACGGGUGGUAAUGCUGGAUGCUCCAACUUGACGCAUGUCUUGUUGGGAAAGUGUUUAGUGGCAUGGGGAAUGGGGGUCGCGUCCUAUCAGCUUGUAGGCGGGGUAAUGGCCCACCUAGGCUUCGACGGGUAGCCGGCCUGAGAGGGCGGACGGCCACAUUGGGACUGAGAUACGGCCCAGACUCCUACGGGAGGCAGCAGC